This 1511-nucleotide ribosomal RNA is filed under the name Clostridium botulinum. It matches the Rfam family "Bacterial small subunit ribosomal RNA". The record is from RNAcentral. Lineage: Bacteria; Bacillati; Bacillota; Clostridia; Eubacteriales; Clostridiaceae.
NNNNNNNGAGAGUUUGAUCCUGGCUCAGGACGAACGCUGGCGGCGUGCUUAACACAUGCAAGUCGAGCGAUGAAGCUUCCUUCGGGAAGUGGAUUAGCGGCGGACGGGUGAGUAACACGUGGGUAACCUGCCUCAAAGUGGGGGAUAGCCUUCCGAAAGGAAGAUUAAUACCGCAUAAUAUAAGAGAAUCGCAUGAUUUUCUUAUCAAAGAUUUAUUGCUUUGAGAUGGACCCGCGGCGCAUUAGCUAGUUGGUAAGGUAACGGCUUACCAAGGCAACGAUGCGUAGCCGACCUGAGAGGGUGAUCGGCCACAUUGGAACUGAGACACGGUCCAGACUCCUACGGGAGGCAGCAGUGGGGAAUAUUGCGCAAUGGGGGAGACCCUGACGCAGCAACGCCGCGUGGGUGAUGAAGGUCUUCGGAUUGUAAAGCCCUGUUUUCUAGGACGAUAAUGACGGUACUAGAGGAGGAAGCCACGGCUAACUACGUGCCAGCAGCCGCGGUAAUACGUAGGUGGCGAGCGUUGUCCGGAUUUACUGGGCGUAAAGGGUGCGUAGGCGGAUGUUUAAGUGGGAUGUGAAAUCCCCGGGCUUAACCUGGGGGCUGCAUUCCAAACUGGAUAUCUAGAGUGCAGGAGAGGAAAGCGGAAUUCCUAGUGUAGCGGUGAAAUGCGUAGAGAUUAGGAAGAACACCAGUGGCGAAGGCGGCUUUCUGGACUGUAACUGACGCUGAGGCACGAAAGCGUGGGUAGCAAACAGGAUUAGAUACCCUGGUAGUCCACGCCGUAAACGAUGGAUACUAGGUGUAGGGGGUAUCAACUCCCCCUGUGCCGCAGUUAACACAAUAAGUAUCCCGCCUGGGGAGUACGGUCGCAAGAUUAAAACUCAAAGGAAUUGACGGGGGCCCGCACAAGCAGCGGAGCAUGUGGUUUAAUUCGAAGCAACGCGAAGAACCUUACCUGGACUUGACAUCCCUUGCAUAGCCUAGAGAUAGGUGAAGCCCUUCGGGGCAAGGAGACAGGUGGUGCAUGGUUGUCGUCAGCUCGUGUCGUGAGAUGUUAGGUUAAGUCCUGCAACGAGCGCAACCCUUGUUAUUAGUUGCUACCAUUAAGUUGAGCACUCUAAUGAGACUGCCUGGGUAACCAGGAGGAAGGUGGGGAUGACGUCAAAUCAUCAUGCCCCUUAUGUCCAGGGCUACACACGUGCUACAAUGGUAGGUACAAUAAGACGCAAGACCGUGAGGUGGAGCAAAACUUAUAAAACCUAUCUCAGUUCGGAUUGUAGGCUGCAACUCGCCUACAUGAAGCUGGAGUUGCUAGUAAUCGCGAAUCAGAAUGUCGCGGUGAAUACGUUCCCGGGCCUUGUACACACCGCCCCGUCACACCAUGAGAGCUGGUAACACCCGAAGUCCGUGAGGUAACCGUAAGGAGCCAGCGGCCGAAGGUGGGAUUAGUGAUUGGGGUGAAGUCGUAACAAGGUAGCCGUAGGAGAACCUGCGGCUGGAUCACCUCC